UAUCACUUUCAGUAUUGAUUAUGGCCCAAUGGGAGGGUGUGGCUUGUGUCAGAGUCAUUGGCCCUGUGAACUAAACCCCAAGAUUAGGUAGAUGUACGCACUGGACCAGGGCAGCAACUCCCCUCACACUACCAGAAGGACCUCAGAACCUGGAGAUGCUACAGCAUAAAAUUAUGUGCCUUCGUCCUGAGAUAGAGAAACUCUGUGACUGACCUAAAGAGACUGAUUGGUCCCAUGGGUCUACAUCAUUUUCAAGUACAAGAAGAAGCGGUUAUGAAAAGUUUCAAGUUGUUUUAUUAGUCUUACUGGAAAUGUCACGACAACAUAUUUCAGUAUUUCCAGCCAACUUAUCUUCCUGUUUUGCCUAUGGGCUCUUCAACAUGUCAUCUCUCUCUACACGGUAUUUGCAGCCAGCUUCUCCUGGAACAUUUCUGCUGACAACACUCAAGUCAAAGUGUACCUCUUCAAUGGAGGAAGCAACACUAAAGAAAAAUACUACUGGUGUCAAAAUUCCAGCUGAGUUUUAUUCACUUUGAUUUACCCCAUAACUAGACUCAGUGUCUACAAGCAAUGUGAACCAGUGAGUUGAACAAUUAGCUACUGAAUAUUGUCCCUGAAGCUGCUUUUCUCCCUGUUGUUUCUUAGUGUCGUGAUUAUCAGAACAGUUACUUCUUCUUUUAUAGUGUAUAUGUAGCCAUAUCUCAAUCCCUGUGGCACAAAUAUUUAAUACAAUGAUCUUGGGGUGGUAGAAUUUUAUUGCUGAAAAAGUAUAGCUUCUGAUCAUGUUCCUAAAAUAAAGGUGUAAGUUAUAUAUAUAAUAUCUUGCCUGAAAGCUACAACAAAGGAAGCUUACAUUUUCUGACAGGACUUUUCAGGUUUUCUUUUGGAAUAUAUUUUUAGUAGAUGAGAAAAAAUUUUUGAUUUUGUGUUGUGAUUAUCGUGUAGAAACAGGAUAGACUCUCUGCCAUCCAAAAUUUUGUUCAGAUUUCAAUACUGGUGGUGCCAUACAUGCACCAAGAAGAUAUGAGAAGGUUUAGUACUCAGAAAAUGAACUUUUUUCAGAGAAUAGAGUGGUUUUUCAAUGGAUACAGAAUGGCUUGAAAGAGCAGGUAAAGGAGACUGGCUUGGGGUUUUUGUGAUGGUAAAGGUAGGUGUACUGGGGCAAAGUUUGUCUUAGCGGGAUUUAUGUGGUCUAAAUUUCUUACCAGUGCCAAUAGAAGGAGCACUGGGCUUUCGUAUCAAUUUGCCCAAGUUUAAGUCAAUAAGGGAAGAGGGAUGGUAAUAGCUUAAAAGCUUCAGCAGUCAAAUUGGAGGCAGACUCUUUAUUUUAAUUCACUUAUAUCAUUCUCUUCUUUAUGAAUAUUUGGUCUUAACUUACUGAUGAUACUUGGCAAAGUUUCUAGGACUCUUAUUAGUUGUUGACUAGAAGUGACUUUUUUGUAAGGUAGGGUGUUAUUAACAUGGCUUAUGAACUAGAAAUAAAUGAUGUGCAAGUUGUUAUCUAUAAUGAUGCUUAUUUGCCUGUUUUAUUUUCUUUUUAUACUUUAGGGUGUUUCUUUAUUGCCUGUGUUGAUACAGAGCAGUGUUUUUCAAACUUUAGGCAUGACUAAAAAUCACAUGGAAAUCUUGUUAAAACACAGAAUGCUACAUCCCAUUCCCAGAAUUUCUCAUAGUAGGUCUGAGGUAGGUCCCCAGAAUUUGAAUUUUAAACAAGCUCCCUUGAUGAUGCUGAUGUUACUGGUCCAGGGACUACAUAUUGGGGAUGUCUAAUUUACAGUUUUUGAAUUUUAAUAAUUUUUAUCAGUAUAUUAUCUCUUUGUAGGUACUCAGCUACAUGGAUAUGAUUGAAUAAUGAGUUUUGGUGUUUAUAUUAAAAGAGAAAAAUAUUUUAAUAAGAGUUCCAACUGCAGAGUUAUUUUAUUAUUUUCUAGUAUAGAUGUAGCCUGCACUAGUAUAGACUACUAAUUAUUGCUAUUUUAUUUUAAUUUAUUGCCACUAAAUUAAUUACACCUUGAUAAAUUUGUGACAUUGGGUAAAUCAUCAUAAAAAAUGUAAUGUGACCUGUGAC
Molecule: long non-coding RNA, 2068 nt
Organism: Macaca nemestrina (pig-tailed macaque)
Lineage: Eukaryota; Metazoa; Chordata; Mammalia; Primates; Cercopithecidae
Source: Ensembl